Molecule: long non-coding RNA, 426 nt
Organism: Sinocyclocheilus rhinocerous
Lineage: Eukaryota; Metazoa; Chordata; Actinopteri; Cypriniformes; Cyprinidae
Exons: 3
Source: RefSeq, a predicted model, not a curated record
UAAGAGCCGAGAGCCGAGCAGACACUCACACUCCCUCAGCAGAAGAGACUCAGAUACAGUUUAGACUACAGUGUCCAGAGCUGCACUGAUCUUUGUGUGAUUUCACGAAGAUGGUCUUUAAUGGUUUGAGCACAAGAUUUCCCAAAAGGAAUAUAUUUCCACACACCUGAGGCAGAAACAUUAUUCUUCGAGGAAUUGCCAUCUAAAUGAUAGUGCCUAAAAUAAGGGCUGAAGGUCACCUUUAAUUUACUUCUGGAAGCAGCCUGUGUUUCAAGUACAUGGGCCACACGUGGCCGUCAAACAGACCAGGAGGGUCAGGAACGGUGUAAGUUCUCAUACUGAAAUAAAGGAGACGGAUUUGUUCGAAAACCAGCAACUGAAUCAUCUAUAAACAUCUGAUCUUCAAAAGCAGUUCUCACCUUCUUC